Molecule: long non-coding RNA, 285 nt
Filed under: Hordeum vulgare
Lineage: Eukaryota; Viridiplantae; Streptophyta; Magnoliopsida; Poales; Poaceae
Description: long non-coding RNA (HVUL_LNC012624)
Source: RNAcentral
GGAGAUCUCCAUGAUAUAAAUCAUCGAUGUGCAUCUGUUGUGCAAAGAAAUUUCCUCAAAAUAUGCACAUCUUCGGGGGGAGUCUCUCGGUAUCUUGAUUUCAAAUUCCUCAAACUCAGUACUUACAUUUCAUAUUCUUAUCCCCGUUGAAAACUUAACCUAAUUAUCAUCAAGCACCAAAAAGGGGGGAGAUUGUAAGUGCAUCUAGUGCCCUUAAUGAUUUUGGUUGUUUGAAGACUUAUAGGUUAAGAGACUAAUGUGUUUGUAAGUGUACACAGGCUCUAU